AACGAACGCUGGCGGCAUGCCUAACACAUGCAAGUCGAACGAGACCUUCGGGUCUAGUGGCGCACGGGUGCGUAACGCGUGAGAACCUGCCCUUAGGUUCGGAAUAACUCCCCGAAAGGGGUGCUAAUACCGGAUAAUGUCUUCGGACCAAAGAUUUAUCGCCUUUGGAUGGGCCCGCGUUGGAUUAGCUAGUUGGUAGGGUAAAAGCCUACCAAGGCGACGAUCCAUAGCUGGUCUGAGAGGAUGAUCAGCCACACUGGGACUGAGACACGGCCCAGACUCCUACGGGAGGCAGCAGUGGGGAAUAUUGGACAAUGGGCGAAAGACUGAUCCAGCAAUGCCGCGUGAGUGAUGAAGGCCUUAGGGUUGUAAAGCUCUUUUACCCGGGAUGAUAAUGACAGUACCGGGAGAAUAAGCUCCGGCUAACUACGUG
Molecule: ribosomal RNA, 433 nt
Filed under: uncultured bacterium
Lineage: Bacteria
Description: partial 16S ribosomal RNA
Rfam family: Bacterial small subunit ribosomal RNA
Source: RNAcentral